UAUGCCUAGCCGUAAACUUAGAUGGCAUCUUACUUACACCAUCCGCCCGGGAACUACGAGCAUUAGCUUGAAACCCAAAGGACUUGGCGGUGCUUAAUAACCCCCUAGAGGAGCCUGUUCUAGAACCGAUACCCCUCGUUAAACCUCACCCUUUCUAGCUUAUUCAGCCUGUAUACCGCCGUCGCCAGCUUACCCUGUGAAGGUUUAAUAGUAAGCAUAAUUAGUAAAACCCAAAACGUCAGGUCAAGGUGCAGCACACGAAAGGGAAAGAAAUGGGCUACAUUACCUGCUCACAGGUCAUUACGAAAAGUGUACUGAAAAAUGCACUAGAAGGAGGAUUUAGUAGUAAGGGAGGAGCAGAGUGCCCCCCUGAAAUCGGCCCUUAAGCGCGCA
This 393-nucleotide ribosomal RNA is filed under the name Lipophrys trigloides. RNAcentral describes it as "partial 12S ribosomal RNA". It matches the Rfam family "Bacterial small subunit ribosomal RNA", at positions 791 to 1385 of the family's 1533-position model. Lineage: Eukaryota; Metazoa; Chordata; Actinopteri; Blenniiformes; Blenniidae. The record is from RNAcentral.